Molecule: ribosomal RNA, 468 nt
Filed under: uncultured bacterium
Lineage: Bacteria
Description: partial 16S ribosomal RNA
Rfam family: Bacterial small subunit ribosomal RNA
Source: RNAcentral
GACGAACGCUGGCGGCGUGCUUAACACAUGCAAGUCGAACGGAAAGGCCCUGCUUUUGUGGGGUGCUCGAGUGGCGAACGGGUGAGUAACACGUGAGUAACCUGCCCUUGACUUUGGGAUAACUUCAGGAAACUGGGGCUAAUACCGGAUAGGAGCUCCUGCUGCAUGGUGGGGGUUGGAAAGUUUCGGCGGUUGGGGAUGGACUCGCGGCUUAUCAGCUUGUUGGUGGGGUAGUGGCUUACCAAGGCUUUGACGGGUAGCCGGCCUGAGAGGGUGACCGGCCACAAUGGGACUGAGAUACGGCCCAGACUCCUACGGGAGGCAGCAGUGGGGAAUAUUGCACAAUGGGCGGAAGCCUGAUGCAGCAACGCCGCGUGUGGGAUGACGGCCUUCGGGUUGUAAACCGCUUUCGCCUGUGACGAAGCGUGAGUGACGGUAAUGGGUAAAGAAGCACCGGCUAACUACGUG